GUCCCUGUGAAGAGCACUAGACCAGGAAGUGCCGUAUGACACUGUAAACAGCAGCCGCUUCUUUGCUGCUGCAAGUGUCCACCCCUGUUCAUAACCUCUGUGGUUUGCUCUGGGAUGGAAUACCAUUUGCACCGGCUUGAUUCAGCUGUGUGCGUGAUUUGAAACGGGUCUCUGAGGGAC
RNAcentral lists this small nucleolar RNA (180 nucleotides) under Triticum aestivum (bread wheat). RNAcentral's name for it is "Small nucleolar RNA Z112". It matches the Rfam family "Small nucleolar RNA Z112". Rfam says of the family: Z112 is a member of the C/D class of snoRNA which contain the C (UGAUGA) and D (CUGA) box motifs. Lineage: Eukaryota; Viridiplantae; Streptophyta; Magnoliopsida; Poales; Poaceae. The record is from Rfam by way of RNAcentral.